Alosa sapidissima (American shad) is the source of this 3222-nucleotide long non-coding RNA. RefSeq lists it as uncharacterized. The record is from RefSeq and is a predicted model, not a curated record. The transcript is spliced from 3 exons. NCBI's taxonomy places the organism in Eukaryota, Metazoa, Chordata, Actinopteri, Clupeiformes, Clupeidae.
AAUUCAUAGCAAAAAAAGUUGUCACAGACUUCCUUUUAACGAUCCAGAAAGGAUAAAGUUGUGGCUGGAAUUUCUGGGGUUGGAUGUGAGCACACCUGUUGAGAAUCUGCAGAAAAGUGAUCACCGUGUCUCUGUGGUCUGCAUUUUACUGAACUUCGCUGGAGGUCGAAAGAAAUCACCCAAAAAGCUCUUUCGCCUGAGAAAUACAGCGGUUCCCACAUUACCUCCUGGGACGACAGAGUUGGAAGAACUUGGGGGACUUUCCUCCAUUUCAGAUGAAAGAUGGCAGGACUCUAACUCAUCUCCCCCUCUUCAAUGGUAUCAGCCGUGGUGUUGACAGAGGUCAAAGUCCAUGGUGAAAUAUAAGACAUGUCCUGCACGACAGAGACAGUGGGACUCCCUGUCACAGUGGAAUUUCCACAUUGGUCAGUCAUUUCACACAAAACAAGGACACCAUGGAUCCUCACCUGCCAGGGAUUACUGCUGCCAGCUUUCCUUCCUUUCUUUAGCCAACCUGGUGGCUGGUGACUCAUACAGUUAUUAGUAGUAUGACAUUUUGUCAUAUAUAAUAUACCGGUAACUUUUCACAAAAAGUGUCCACUAUAAUGAAAACAAGUACACAAAUUUGCACAAACAUUCAGCAGUUACUCCCACCAUGCAGGAAACACAUACACACAUGGCAACAGACAGACACAUACACAAACACAAACAGCAGCAACAGAGGUCUUAGUCAUCCCUGACAUACAAAUCCCUGUCUUAAAUUUUCAUUAAAAGGAAAAUGCUCAGUCUGAAAGGGCUACAUCGGCUGCCCAGGGCCAAACACACACACACACACAUACAGUGGCCGUCCUACAUACUGUAUCAUGAGUCACCAUCUCCAGAGCUCCAUGUGUUUGGGCUUACUGGUGUGUGUGUACUGUAAGUCUGUGUGUGUGUGUGUGUGUGUGUGUUUCCCUGGGAGUAAUUUGGAGGAGGUCAGCAGAAGGGGAGAGUAGAGGAGAGAUAGAGAUAGAGUCAAAGAGGGAGAAAUAGAAGCAGGGAGAUAUGGGAGAGCAGAUGAAGGUGGAGAGGACCAGAUGUGGAGGAUGGAGAUGAGCACAGCUCUGAGGUAUGGACACUGUGUAUGGAAAGAAAGAUGCCAUGAGAGAGAUACUGUAUGAAGACAUAAUAAUAUGUAAUAACACCACUAUCUUCUCCUUACUGGUGGUUUCCAUUGUAUUUAAAUUACACAGAAUGACACCUUUUGCUUGUGAAUAAUUGUUCCAGCAUGUGAGUUAGUGUAUCUGUUUCAUUCCAGUUUGAAUGGUGUAUAAAUUAUGUGUCCGAAUGCAUCACUGUGAUGGGUGAAUAAAGCGUCUGCUCUCUGUGUUAGUGUUCACAGGGUCAGAAUGACUCUCUCGAGGCCAGCUGGAGUCAAUGCUUAAGGAGGAGAUGAAAAGGGACGAAGAGAAAGAGAGAGAGAGAGAGAGAGAUAACGCACUCUUUUCUUAAAGAAGGAGCAGAACACAAGGUCUGGCCCUGUUGAAGAUGGGCGACCAAAGGUAGCAUCCCAUUCCCUCUCUCUCUCUCUCUCUGUGUCUCUCUCUCUCUCUCACACACACUCAGAGAGCAGCUAACCUGCGGUGGGAAAGUUCCGGAAACAGAGGUCUCCUUUCAGUGGCGGAGUCCGAUAAGGUGUCUGCUCCACGGAGGUCCCUCAUCAGACUGUGUACCAUGACGUGCAGAGAGAACAAUGUUCAUCUCACCAACAAAAGUUGACCUUGGAGGUUUCAUGACAAGCACUCACAGCAAUGUUCUUCUCAACAAAGCAAGUUGGCGUUUGGAAGUUUGGUUGGACUUUUUUGGUCAGGAAGGUGACACACCAGACCGCCACAGAGAGCAUUAUUAAACAGAACAUUGAUAAACGGAGAAAAAACGUCACAGAUGAUUCACCCAAGUUAUUUUUGUAUUGCCAAAAGGCAGCUCUUCAUUUUUUUCUCAUUGACUGUAGUGCUGCAACUGUUUCAGCUACCAUGCAGAGGAUGUGACAUUUCCCUUUUUCCAGAAAGAUCCAGAGCAGACAGCAGAAAUUACAACCAAAGCUUGUUCUCAUUCGGGGAUUGGCAUGGCCCAUGUAAGUUUUGUGCAAUGAGUCACUGGAAAACUGGGACCCCGAAUGACUGGCCCUCCUGCUUUAACUGCGGGCAUUCCUCAGGGGAUUCUAAUUUUGCACAAAGUAACCCUGACCCUGGCCUGGUUCACCUCUCGUUUCAACUACGGCUGUAAAGCUGAGUUCAAAUCAAGACGGGGCUUUUCGCAGUUUGCCUGCUCAGCGGAGCAGUUGCUCAUCACUUGCCUCCUAUAAUGAUAGCAGGCAACAGAUAACAGCUGUCUCAGGAGUGGCCCGCGGUCUGACCCGGCUUCGAUCUGCUUCAGCAGCUCCGAGUCUGUCCCAGAGUCAGCAGCAAACUGGGUUACCAGUAUCCAGAGACCAUUUAUAGUUUAUAAAACAAAAGAGAGAGAAAACAGCAACCAUUCAGAGAUGAAGGGAAGCUGAAACAUCUCUGACCAGAAUCCUUGCUCUAUGGAGACAGGGUGGAGUAGAUGCUGUUAGGAAAUGGAGCUUGGCUCCUGCACCUGCACGCACAUAAUGAAGAGCUGGUUCCUUGGAAACCCACCACAAGCAAAAAGGUCACUUCAGUUUCCUCUGAACAGAUGAAUAUGUGUGCUACAAAUCAAGGCUUGUUUUGUGUGUCCAGUUCCACGUCUUAUAUCCAGUACUCUCCUUUUUUAUAUCUUUAUAUCAGAUUCAAGUGAUUUCAGAUUAUUUUAUCAUAACACUCCCAAAAACAGAAAUCUAUAAGACAUGAUAUGAUUAUUACUGAAGUAUACCAGUAACCCAGUAAUGCUUUGUGAGUUUGGCCAAAGGAAUACAUUUUUCACUGGUUUGACCAAUAGCUUAAUCUUAGGCGGGCCAGCACUCCCACACACCACAUGGUAGCUUCAGUUCAUACAUGAGACAUUUUGAUCAUUGCCUGAAUUUGCUCUUUGAUGGCCAUUGAAAUGAAGGGUGCAGUAGGUAAUGGGUCUCUAACCUGCUGAGGAGCUAGCUUUGACCAAUCAUUGUGCAUGUGUGAGGGACCAAAGCUGCUCUAAGCAAUGCUGGGCAACGUCACUUCUGUUGACUUUCAAACAAAACAGACAGCUAGCUCCCUACUUCCUCCCCCUCCCUCCCGUGCUGCU